RNAcentral lists this ribosomal RNA (492 nucleotides) under uncultured bacterium. RNAcentral describes it as "partial 16S ribosomal RNA". It matches the Rfam family "Bacterial small subunit ribosomal RNA", at positions 29 to 507 of the family's 1533-position model. The record is from RNAcentral.
AGUGAACGCUGGCGGUAGGCCUAACACAUGCGAGUCGAACGGCAGCACAGUAAGAGCUUGCUCUUACGGGUGGCGAGUGGCGGACGGGUGAGGAAUACAUCGGAAUCUACUUUUUCGUGGGGGAUGACGUAGGGAAACUUACGCUAAUACCGCAUACGACCUACGGGUGAAAGCAGGGGAUCUUCGGACCUUGCGCGAUUGAAUGAGCCGAUGUCGGAUUAGCUAGUUGGCGGGGUAAAGGCCCACCAAGGCGACGAUCCGUAGCUGGUCUGAGAGGAUGAUCAGCCACACUGGAACUGAGACACGGUCCAGACUCCUACGGGAGGCAGCAGUGGGGAAUAUUGGACAAUGGGCGCAAGCCUGAUCCAGCCAUACCGCGUGGGUGAAGAAGGCCUUCGGGUUGUAAAGCCCUUUUAUUGGGAAAGAAAAGCAGCAGGUUAAUACCCCGCUGUUCUGACGGUACCCAAAGAAUAAGCACCGGCUAACUUCGUG